Long non-coding RNA from Bos taurus (domestic cattle), 908 nucleotides. The record is from Ensembl. NCBI's taxonomy places the organism in Eukaryota, Metazoa, Chordata, Mammalia, Artiodactyla, Bovidae.
UAAAGUAUAAUGGAGAUAGAGAAAGCUUCUGACAUAGGCAUCAGAAGCAGGCAGAAAGAGUACCUGCUUGCUAGUGUUAGCAAUGGAGUUAUAUACUCUCCAAUGAAUCCAAAGAAUGUCUGGAGGUUGUAAAGACCUCACCAGACCUACUCCCAUAAUGUACAUUUUAAGAUAACAGGAUUAGCCAGAAGGUUUAAUCCAGAGACUGUCCUUAGGCAGGAUACAUAAUCCUAAAGAAUGUAGAGGGAAAAAAAAAAAAAAGUUUGUCCUUUCUUCCUCCUUGAGAAUUCCAGACCCCUCUCUCCUUGGGGACCCCUAGACUUCUUAUCAACUUGCCUAGGAAAUGACUCUCAGUUGGAUGGCAUCACUGACUUGAUGGACAUGAGUUUGAGCAAACUCUGGGAGAUGGUGAUGGACAGUGAAGCCUGGCACACUGCAGUCCAUGGGCUCGCAAAGACUGAGCAACCGAACUGAACUGAACUGGUCCCCUGGAGUGAGUGACUGGGCAAAACAGGAUCCCCACCAGCUGCUGCUCCCUCCCAGGGCAUUAAAGUCAGAGCCACAGUGGUGGGCCUUCCAUCGAGGGGUGAGAAGAUAAUAAGACAAUAACAGUGGAGUCUAUAGAACUGCACUGCCCAAGGUCACAGUGCCCAAGGUCAUGGUGCUUGGAAACUGCAGGACUAGGACCAGCCCUGCCAGAGAGUUGAAGAUUGCAUGCUCCAUCCUUCCCUGUGAGGCCUGUGUUUCUGCACUGGCUCCCGACGCAGCUACCAUGUGGGAUCUUACCUCCCAAGCUGGGAUUCAACCUGUAUCCCCUGCAUUGGAAGGCGAAGUCUUAACCACUGAGUCACCUUGAUUGAUUGACUGGGAAUUCACCACUGGAAGUCACCGUGAUUGACUGAUUCAAG